This is a long non-coding RNA of Papilio polytes (common Mormon), 395 nucleotides long. RefSeq lists it as uncharacterized. NCBI's taxonomy places the organism in Eukaryota, Metazoa, Arthropoda, Insecta, Lepidoptera, Papilionidae. The record is from RefSeq and is a predicted model, not a curated record. The transcript has 3 exons.
GUAAUUUAAUAUGCAAAUUUAGAUCGUAUCGCGUAAUAUUAAAGUUGAAAGUGUAUUGCAGUGCGCGGGCGCUCGAGUCAUUACGUUGUCAGCGUCCUAAUUUUGCAGUGUCCUCGUUUUUGAGGUCAGCCUCUAUCGGGGCAACGAACUCGUGCCCUUAUCGCACAGAGAGACGGGAGGUGGCUGCCAGCUAAGCGACUCGUGGUAGGUAACGGGCCGGCGAGCGGUGAGGUGCCGGGCGGGGGGAGUGCAGGUGGGGGGAGCAACACGAGGUACGUGGCCCAGUUUCGCGCGGGUGCAUGAACUCUAACGAGGGAGCGAUGACCGUGCGGCGUGCAUUGCGUGCGUCACUCACCUCGCUGCAACCAGCCGGAGCUCUCGACUCCGCACCUCAC